Molecule: long non-coding RNA, 531 nt
Organism: Medicago truncatula (barrel medic)
Lineage: Eukaryota; Viridiplantae; Streptophyta; Magnoliopsida; Fabales; Fabaceae
Exons: 2
Source: RefSeq, a predicted model, not a curated record
UAUAACAUGAGAAAUAGCUUGUAUGCAAUAGAAUUGAGAGGGAGAAAAUGAUGAGAAAGUUGAGAUUCUGUUGCGAAGGGGUUGACAUAGUAAAACUUGCGGCUGUAGAGCAAAACGAGAAAAAAGUUACUAUUCAACACAAACCAGAGCCAUGGGGCAAAGGCAAUAAUGAUGCAACUGUGAUUCCUCCAAAGAGAAAGUGUGUGAAGAAUACGGUAUGCAAUUGUUUUGUUCAAUGCAUCUGUGCUAAGUGCUUGAAUACCAAUACUCUUUCACCUCCAACACCGACAAUAACAUCAGCCAACUAUAGAAUCAAAACAAAGGGUGUCAAAUAAUCAAAAAGUUUGCAGGUUGCCAUGAUGAAGAUGAGGAAUCAAGAUCGUUUAUAUACUUGGUUGAUGCUUUGAAUAAGGAACAAAAUGUAAAGGGUGAUUGAAACCGUCGUAACUUUGUACUGUAAUUUCAUUACUGGAAAUUUAUUUGUUUUAUCCCCUAUUUAAAUUUAAAUAACAUAGAGUUACUUUGGUCAAA